GGGUGUAGCAGAUAAUGCAUCACUCUCUGUUUUUGAAAGCAUGAAAAACAAAUGAUCACACAGGUUUUGCAACUGGUGAGGGUGGGUCAAACAUGACAUCGAAGGAGAAUGGUAGACUGUUGGCGUAUAAGGCAGGGUUCUUCAUCAUCUCAACCUCCUUCAUUUACCAGCAGACGUCCCGAAAAUGCUCGAUAUGUUCCUGGACUGCACAAAACUCCUGAUGAUCAAUCUUAAUAGAUUCUUACACUAUACAUGUACUAGUAUAUGUACGCAUCAAUCAGAACAAAAAACUGGAGAAGAAAUUCUUGUCUCAGUAGAUUAAUACACUAUACUAGUAUAUACGGUAGUCAAUUAAAACUCUGAGAGAAA
This is a long non-coding RNA of Patella vulgata (common limpet), 369 nucleotides long. RefSeq lists it as uncharacterized. The record is from RefSeq and is a predicted model, not a curated record. The transcript is spliced from 2 exons. NCBI's taxonomy places the organism in Eukaryota, Metazoa, Mollusca, Gastropoda, Patellidae.